GGCGGUGGGUCUGAGGAAGGGCCUCCCCGUGCCGGGCCAGGCCCCAGGACGGCGGGGCUGGGACGGGGGGUGGCCGCGUCCUGCCGGGGACUGAGGUGAUGGGUCGGGAAGGGGCGCUGGGAUGGGCGCGGGUUAGCGGAGAAGACAGGCGGAGGGCAGUCAGGCCCGGGACAUGGCGGCCGAGGCUCGCUGAGGAGGGGGCGAGCUGGCGUGCUUCCAGCGUGGGAGGGAAGGGACGAGGCCCUGCACGGAGCGGAGCCAAGGAGGGAGCUGGGAAGCGUCAAAACCCUGUCAGAAAUCCGGCGUGGCUCGGUGGCCGGGGGAGGCAGAAGAUGGCACUGGGGGUCCGUGAGAGGCGGCCCUGCGGUGUUGGCCAGUCACGGCUGUGGACAGAGUUUAAAGUCGGAAGGGUCACUCGUGUUUUGUUUUGGGUUUAGUUAGCAGUGGAGCUAGUCCGAGGGCGGUGAAGUAACAGCUGAAGGGGCUUAACGUGCUAGGAGGAUGCUGGAGAGAGACUAGGGAAGGGCACUGUGAGCGUACUUGUGUCAGAGAUUAAACUGAAGAGGGCUCAAGGCAAGGCGGGUGGAGAUCAGGGGAUCCGAGUGCGUUGGAGGGGAUGGAAACAGAAGGAUCUGGAACAUUAACAGCUGUAAAUGCAGCCCAAGUCUGUGUGGGGAAGCGAUGGUGGUUCUAGCUGUGGUGGGAACUUUUAGUGUUGCAAGACAUCUAUACUCCUGGUGCUUGGGUCCUCUCUACAUCUGCCGUGAUCAUCAGCAUCAGGAACUUGAACUUAUGCAAAGGGAAACUUGAAAAUCACAAGACUUUGAGCUUUCCACUUCCCAAUGAAGUUGAGGGUGGGAGGAAAAGCCUGUCACUUGUGAAUGGAAGACUUGAGGAGGGAGUCCAGUGCUAUCAGCAAGUCAGAGCUGAAAGCAGACAGAUAUUAGGAGUAGUUUAUAAAAUCACUCAAGAGUUGCUAGUAGAGAGGGAAUCAGAAAUUACUAAAAUUGGCAUGAGAAGAUGGACGUGAAAUGGAGAUGGGUAAACACAAUGAUUAUUAAACUACUGGUUGGAACAGAGUCUGCUUUGACUUCCUCAAACACUUUGGUCAACUACCUGGUCAUUUAACUGCCCGCUGACUGGGAGAACAAUAUUCCUGCUCAAAUCUUAUCUAGUUUCACUGGAGAUGAGUUGCUGAGCAACCAGUUAGACCAAGAGCACGCUGAAGAAUGUAAAUGCCACCUCUCUGCAAAGAAGUUUGUCCUUCAUCGUAUUGCCAUCAAGUAUACUACCUUCUCCUGUAAACACCAGUUGACACUUGCCUAUCAGGGAUCAAGAAGGGAAAUUCCACCACGACAUUAGGGAAAAAAGUCCUUUCAAGCACUGGUUGCCCAGAGGGACUGAGGAAUCUCCAUCCUUGGGCAUUAUUUACAACUUGACUGCCAAAGACCCUGAGCGGCAUGGGCUAAAUUGGCUCCAUUCUGAGCAGGGGGCUGGAGCAGGUGCUCUUCAGGGGUCCCUUUUUAAUAUCACCAGUAAGCACUGCGUACUGUCUCGGUAAAAAAGAAUGGACAUUUUUAGGUACUUUUAACUUCCCAGUAAUGUAGGAUGUGCUGCUGUAGCUAACAUGAAAAAAAUAAUGCUGUGGUGAGGUGUUCAGAUGCAGGUAGCUUGCAUACACAUAAACCUGCACGCAGGGACACGUGCAAGCGUUGAGGUUAGCUGCUCUGUGGGAAAGCAGUCCAACAGCAAAAUAGGAGGGUAGAGGGAGGGGUGCUUGAGGUUAAAAAAACCCUUGGAAAAAGCAUGAAUUUUUGUUCUUGCCAGAUUUCAUUUCCAAGAUGCUUGAAUUGAGCCCCUGUAGCAAACUAAGCAACGGUCCUGAAUUAAUGGGAGGUAAUAUAACCAGCAUUGAGAGCUGGUUGCACAACUCCUGUACACGCUAAACCAUCUCUUUCUGCACUUCCUUUCCAAGAAGUGCCAGAGGGAUGAAAUAAAUUCUCUCUCCCGAAUAGGGGAAAGUCCGUCAAGCCAGCUAGUCUGGUGUUUUCAGAAGUCCAGUAAAAGACAUGGUCUUGCAUGUGUCCUCAGAAAUGUAUAAGGUUUUCCAUAUUCAAGAUAACUAUGCUAGGGGACAUAAUUUUGUCCUCAGUCACAGGGGAGAAGCCUGCAAACCUUGACCUCAAAGGUACUUACUUCCAUCUGUGAGAAAAUUUCAGUUUUAUUGAAUGGUUUCAGUUCCAGGAAAGUGAUCCCUGAUAACUACCAGAAAUCAAUCCUUCAGAUCUAAAAGCGCUGCUUUCACAAAUUUUAUUAUGUUGAUCGCUGUGUUACACCAUUUUCUUGCCUAUGAGUGAAGUCCCUGGAGCAUUAGGAGCUGCUUCUCACGUGCUCUCAGUCUAACACAGCAAAAUGACACCGACUUCCCCCACUAAUGUGGCAACAUCCUCCCUGACCCGAGCCUAGGAGAGCUAGACCCAGCAUUUCAGCCUAAUGGCAGGAUUAGUACCAAAUUCCAAGAUACUGUAACUUCAUUGGCCCAACUCAAGACUCCCCUGCCUGUACCUCUAAUGAUUACAUUACCCCUUUCUGUUCAGCUGCCAUGCCCCUCUUUUCCAAGUCUUUUCCAGAGCCACUGCUUCGAAGUAUAGUUUCCCAUCUUACUAUUGUGGCCUUCAUUCUCUGUUUUUUAGAUAUAUAGCUUCAUGUUUACCUGUAAUAAAUAUGUUAUAUUGUUUGCUUUCUGUAUACCACCUGAUUACAUCAGUGACCUAUUUU
This is a non-coding RNA of Phalacrocorax carbo (great cormorant), 2778 nucleotides long. Lineage: Eukaryota; Metazoa; Chordata; Aves; Suliformes; Phalacrocoracidae. The record is from RefSeq and is a predicted model, not a curated record.